This 254-nucleotide ribosomal RNA is filed under the name uncultured bacterium. RNAcentral's name for it is "partial 16S ribosomal RNA". It matches the Rfam family "Bacterial small subunit ribosomal RNA", at positions 524 to 776 of the family's 1533-position model. The record is from RNAcentral.
UACGUAGGGUGCAAGCGUUGUCCGGAAUUAUUGGGCGUAAAGGGCGCGUAGGCGGCCACUGCAAGUCGGUUGUGAAAUCUCCGGGCUUAACCCGGAAAGGUCAAUCGAUACUGCAGGGCUAGAGUGCAGAAGGGGCAACUGGAAUUCUCGGUGUAGCGGUGAAAUGCGUAGAUAUCGAGAGGAACACCGGUGGCGAAGGCGGGAUCCUGGGCCAGUACUGACGCUGAGGAGCGAAAGCGUGGGGAGCAAACAGG